GCCCUUAGAGUUUGAUCCUGGCUCAGGAUGAACGCUGGCGGUAUGCUUUACACAUGCAAGUCGUACGAGAGUUUUUAACUCAAGUGGCGGACGGGUGAGUAACACGUAAGAAUUUGCCUUUAGGAGGGGGAUAACAACUGGAAACGGUUGCUAAUACCCCAUAUGCUUUCGAGUAAAAUGGAUUUUCCGCCUAAAGAGAAGCUUGGCGGCUGAUUAGCUUGUUGGUGAGGUAAUGGCUCACCAAGGCGACGAUCAGUAUCUGGUUUGAGAGGACGAUCAGACACACUGGAACUGAGACACGGUCCAGACUCUUACGGGAGGCAGCAGUGGGGAAUUUUCCGCAAUGGGCGAAAGCCUGACGGAGCAAUACCGCGUGAGGGAUGACGGCCUAUGGGUUGUAAACCUCUUUUUUCAGGGAGGAAUCAAUGACGUGUACCUGAAGAAUAAGCAUCGGCUAACUCCGUGCCAGCAGCCGCGGUAAGACGGAGGAUGCCAGUGUUAUCCGGAAUCACUGGGCGUAAAGCGUCUGUAGGUGGUCAAAUAAGUCAACUGUUAAAUCUUGAGGCUCAACCUCAAAAUCGCAGUCGAAACUAUUCGACUAGAGUAUAGUAGGGGUAAAGGGAAUUGUCCAGUGGAGCGGUGAAAUGCGUAGAGAUUGGAAAGAACACCGAUGGCGAAGGCACUUUACUGGGCUAUUACUAACACUGAGAGACGAAAGCUAGGGUAGCAAAUGGGAUUAGAUACCCCAGUAGUCCUAGCCGUAAACAAUGGAUACUAGAUGUUGGACAGAUCGACCUGUGCAGUAUCAAAGCUAACGCGUUAAGUAUCCCGCCUGGGAAGUAUGCUCGCAAGAGUGAAACUCAAAUGAAUUGACGGGGAAGGGC
Molecule: ribosomal RNA, 884 nt
Filed under: uncultured bacterium
Lineage: Bacteria
Description: bacterial SSU rRNA
Rfam family: Bacterial small subunit ribosomal RNA
Source: RNAcentral